UUUUAUGAAUAGAUAUGUCCCAUGCAACAUUUGGAACAUUAUUAUACUAAAA
Molecule: microRNA precursor, 52 nt
Filed under: Marmota monax (woodchuck)
Lineage: Eukaryota; Metazoa; Chordata; Mammalia; Rodentia; Sciuridae
Source: RNAcentral